GACGAACGCUGGCGGCGUGCUUAACACAUGCAAGUCGAACGGAAAGGCCUCUUUCGGGGGGUACUCGAGUGGCGAACGGGUGAGUAACACGUGAGUAACCUGCCCUUGACUUUGGGAUAACUUCAGGAAACUGGGGCUAAUACCGGAUAGGAGCUCGUGCUGCAUGGUGGGGGUUGGAAAGUUUCGGCGGUUGGGGAUGGACUGGCGGCUUAUCAGCUUGUUGGUGGGGUAGUGGCUUACCAAGGCUUUGACGGGUAGCCGGCCUGAGAGGGUGACCGGCCACAUUGGGACUGAGAUACGGCCCAGACUCCUACGGGAGGCAGCAGUGGGGAAUAUUGCACAAUGGGUGGAAGCCUGAUGCAGCAACGCCGUGUGCGGGAUGACGGCCUUCGGGUUGUAAACCGCUUUCGCUCAUGACGAAGCUUUGUGUGACGGUAGUGGGUAAAGAAGCACCGGCUAACUACGUG
RNAcentral lists this ribosomal RNA (467 nucleotides) under uncultured bacterium. RNAcentral describes it as "partial 16S ribosomal RNA". It matches the Rfam family "Bacterial small subunit ribosomal RNA", at positions 28 to 507 of the family's 1533-position model. The record is from RNAcentral.